Molecule: ribosomal RNA, 541 nt
Filed under: uncultured bacterium
Lineage: Bacteria
Description: partial 16S ribosomal RNA
Rfam family: Bacterial small subunit ribosomal RNA
Source: RNAcentral
UGGGGAAUUUUGGACAAUGGGCGAAAGCCUGAUCCAGCCAUGCCGCGUGCAGGAUGAAGGCCUUCGGGUUGUAAACUGCUUUUGUACGGAACGAAAAGCCUCUUUCUAAUAAAGAGGGGUCAUGACGGUACCGUAAGAAUAAGCACCGGCUAACUACGUGCCAGCAGCCGCGGUAAUACGUAGGGUGCAAGCGUUAAUCGGAAUUACUGGGCGUAAAGCGUGCGCAGGCGGUUUUGUAAGACAGAGGUGAAAUCCCCGGGCUCAACCUGGGAACUGCCUUUGUGACUGCAAGGCUGGAGUGCGGCAGAGGGGGAUGGAAUUCCGCGUGUAGCAGUGAAAUGCGUAGAUAUGCGGAGGAACACCGAUGGCGAAGGCAAUCCCCUGGGCUGCACUGACGCUCAUGCACGAAAGCGUGGGGAGCAAACAGGAUUAGAUACCCUGGUAGUCCACGCCCUAAACGAUGUCAACUGGUUGUUGGGUCUUCACUGACUCAGUAACGAAGCUAACGCGUGAAGUUGACCGCCUGGGGAGUACGCCGCAA